RNAcentral lists this ribosomal RNA (97 nucleotides) under Brochothrix thermosphacta DSM 20171 = FSL F6-1036. The record is from RNAcentral. Lineage: Bacteria; Bacillati; Bacillota; Bacilli; Caryophanales; Listeriaceae.
AGGAUACACCUGUUCCCAUCCCGAACACAGUAGUUAAGCUCUUUAGCGCCAAUGGUAGUUGGGGGUCUCCCCCUGUGAGAGUAGGACGUUGCCAAGC